GAAUAAUUAGAAAAAACAAACCCUGCCUAAUUAAUCAUUUUGCAGCCCAAAAUGCAAGUAAGUCAACAUGCAUGCUUCCACAAUAUAUAUAUUAUCAACACAAUCAAUAAGAUAUAAAUAUAUAAUAAAUUAAGAGAUGAAUAUAUAUGUGCAAACAAGAAACACUAUACUCAUAUCUCUAUCUCUUUCAAUCAACAGAAUAGCCUUGCUGUCCACUUCACAAACCAAUCAAAUACAAGAAGAAAACAAAAUCAAAACAAAAACCAAGAAAACAAAUUUAGAAAGAGAAAAAAAAGAGAAACAGAAGGGGAGGGAGAGAGAGAUCGAGGGACAAAGAAGAAAGGGAAGCAGAAGGGAAAUAAUACUGGACGCUCCUCUCCUCUCCUUCCCAUUCUUCUCCUCCUCGUCGCCGUCGUCGUCGC
This 422-nucleotide long non-coding RNA is filed under the name Oryza brachyantha (malo sina). Its description in RNAcentral is "long non-coding RNA (OBRA_LNC001268)". The record is from RNAcentral. Lineage: Eukaryota; Viridiplantae; Streptophyta; Magnoliopsida; Poales; Poaceae.